RNAcentral lists this ribosomal RNA (460 nucleotides) under uncultured bacterium. Its description in RNAcentral is "partial 16S ribosomal RNA". It matches the Rfam family "Bacterial small subunit ribosomal RNA", at positions 338 to 795 of the family's 1533-position model. The record is from RNAcentral.
CCUACGGGAGGCAGCAGUGAGGAAUAUUGGUCAAUGGACGAGAGUCUGAACCAGCCAAGUAGCGUGAAGGAUGACUGCCCUAUGGGUUGUAAACUUCUUUUAUAUGGGAAUAAAAUGUUCCACGUGUGGGAUUUUGUAUGUACCAUAUGAAUAAGGAUCGGCUAACUCCGUGCCAGCAGCCGCGGUAAUACGGAGGAUCCGAGCGUUAUCCGGAUUUAUUGGGUUUAAAGGGAGCGUAGGUGGAUUGUUAAGUCAGUUGUGAAAGUUUGCGGUUCAACCGUAAAAUUGCAGUUGAAACUGGCAGUCUUGAGUACAGUAGAGGUGGGCGGAAUUCGUGGUGUAGCGGUGAAAUGCUUAGAUAUCACGAAGAACUCCGAUUGCGAAGGCAGUUCACUGGACUGCAACUGACACUGAGGCUCGAAAGUGUGGGUAUCAAACAGGAUUAGAUACCCGUGUAGUC